CUUGGUCAUUUAGAGGAAGUAAAAGUCGUAACAAGGUUUCCGUAGGUGAACCUGCGGAAGGAUCAUUACAGAGAUCAUGCCCUUCGGGGUAGACCUCCCACCCUUUGUUAUACCAACGAAUGUUGCUUUGGCGAGCCGCCCUAGGCCGUCGGCCUCGGCUGACGCGUGCUCGCCAGAGACCCCAAACUCUGUAUCAGUGUCGUCUGAGUACUAUAUAAUAGUUAAAACUUUCAACAACGGAUCUCUUGGUUCUGGCAUCGAUGAAGAACGCAGCGAAAUGCGAUAAGUAAUGUGAAUUGCAGAAUUCAGUGAAUCAUCGAAUCUUUGAACGCACAUUGCGCCCCUUGGUAUUCCGGGGGGCAUGCCUGUUCGAGCGUCAUUUCAACCCUCAAGCUCUGCUUGGUCUUGGGCCCUGCCGGCAACGGCUGGCCUCAAAAGUAGUGGCGGCGCCAUCGUGCUCUCAGCGUAGUAAUUCUUCUCGCUGUUGGGUCCCGGUGGACGCUGGCCAGCAACCCCCCAUUUCUAAUGUUGACCUCGGAUCAGGUAGGGAUACCCGCUGAACUUAAGCAUAUCAAUAAGCGGAGGA
Molecule: ribosomal RNA, 586 nt
Filed under: uncultured Helotiales
Lineage: Eukaryota; Fungi; Ascomycota; Leotiomycetes; Helotiales
Description: eukaryotic LSU rRNA
Rfam family: 5.8S ribosomal RNA (bases 226-379)
Source: RNAcentral